UUCCUGGCCAGAUUCAGCGUUGUGUACCAUAUUAUUUUGGUCGUAACGUGUUGGGUUAUGACAGAUGUGUGGUCCGUAUCGCGAUUACUGACGUAGAAACGAAACAUUGUUUUUAGUAGUUUUGUUGAACAACACUUUUUGUUGCUGUCGUGGAGAUAGAUGGAAAAAGUUUUGCAGAUUAAAAGUGCUGAUCGACCUAGAAAAAUGAAAACAGCCAUAAUCAUAUUUCUGGUGUGUCUAGCGUUAAGAUUCGAUGCCACGGCCGGUGCACCGGUUGAAAAAGCCGGAUCCGGUUCCAACAAUCGCCUCAAGAGGGAAAAAACGAUUCCUCAGAUAUGUGCUUACUACAUCGACAAUGGAAUACAAGGGCCAGCCUACUGCUACCAGUCGGGCUCAUGGAAUUAGAACCUGGAACCCUGGCGUGUGGGCCACUCGACCUACACACACAACCAGCUGAUCACCGUAGCUCCU
Molecule: long non-coding RNA, 471 nt
Organism: Physella acuta
Lineage: Eukaryota; Metazoa; Mollusca; Gastropoda; Physidae
Source: RefSeq, a predicted model, not a curated record